RNAcentral lists this long non-coding RNA (441 nucleotides) under Strongylocentrotus purpuratus (purple sea urchin). RNAcentral's name for it is "uncharacterized LOC105445304, transcript variant X2". Lineage: Eukaryota; Metazoa; Echinodermata; Echinoidea; Camarodonta; Strongylocentrotidae. The record is from RNAcentral.
AUGCUAGAUCUAUUUUAUUUUGUUAAGGAGAAAGGGAUGCCUUGAUUGUCGUAUUGAUUUUCUUCUUCUUUUUGUUCCAAAAGAUUGAAACUGAAGAGCUGGAAGGAGGACAUUACAACAUCUCUUAUAUUUGCAAGAUGAAGCAGAAAGUCCCAUGCAGGAUGAUGCCUCUCUACAGUGGAUGAUGAAGGCAUUCUGGUUUGCAAACUCAGGAGAGGAACAAAGAACAGAUGUUGACGGGAUCAUAUCUAGAGAUGCGGGCCUACUACACUUCAUACGAGCAAGUGUGCUAAUAUACAUGAAGACUUGGGUUAUAUUUUUUUCUGAAAACUAGGCUACAACUUUAGUGAUGGAUGCAGAAGAUAUCUACACGAGACUACGUCUUAAAGAUGCCACCCUCAUAUAAUGAAAGAGGACAAUAGAGAUGGGUUUAAACUGGAA